UCGAACAGUCAAUCUAUUAGCAACUGGAAGACUUCAUUUAGAAAGUUUAAAAAAAAAUGUUCAUGCAGAAUUUAGUUGUUAAAUGUAGCUAGCCUAUUGUUGUAUUCCAUGUUGUCAGUUUAAUUAUUUGUGAAGGAGGACUUGCCUCGACUAAAUUUGUGGCAGCAAGGUGAUAUCGAUAGUGCAAGCUUUCUCUAUCUAACGGCACGGAUUUUGUAGAAUGAUGCUGUGAAGAAACAUUUAUUUUGCAAAAGUGUCAGACGUUAUUAGCCGCGCUUGACUUGGACCCGAAAUAGGUGCCGGACUACAGUAAAGUCUUGAGGGAGACCUGUAACAGUGGACCAUGCUCCAGACAGUGAGUAACCCCCCGGGCUUGUGCAUCAGUGCCAAAACCAUUCCAGAGAGAAAGCUGAUAUAUUCCUGCCCUGGCGCCACAGACCCUGUUACAGAGAGGAAGCUGAUGUAUUCAGGCAAUGGUAUACUGGACCCUGCUCCAGAGCGUAGGUACAGGCAGGCCUAUUUUUCCAGGUAUAGGUGGAAAUGGAGGAAGAAGUCCAAAAAAAACCCACAGCCGUUGCCGCCAGCCUCACCUCUGCCACCAUAUGAGGAAGAAAACUGGGAGGAGGAGAUGGGAAUCGUAGAGACAUAUGGAUUUGCUCCAUAUGGCCCAGAGGAUGUGGAUAGAGUGGCCCUACAGGGGUUGACCCUGAACCAUGCCCCCUGCCCUCCCCACCCCCAGACAGCAACCGACUACAGCCCUGCCACCCACCACCAAGCCCCCAUCAAAUGGGUCCGCCACAUCAUCCGCAGCGUGGAGGAGCAGUUUGUUGACGCAGAGGUUUGAGGAUUAUUUUCCUGCUGUAGCAAACUGCCGACCCCUCCCUCCCUCUACACCCUCAGUUUGAGAGACUUCCCUCUGGCUGGCGCUUCAGAAUGCCCAUAGCCAGGAAGAACGUGUUCCAACAUUCCUGUGUUCCUUGUGCCUAUGGACUACUAAAUGCAAAGUCAAUUGUAUCUGUAUAUGCACUUCUCUAUCCAGUGAGUGAGUCAACAUAUCAAUGUCCACUAUGUUUUUAGUGUAUGAAAUGUGAUGGACUGACUGGUUUAAAUGUGUAUGAUGUGCAAAUGUAUGCGAUCCUUUUAAUGGAAGGUGAUGCCAAAGAACAACAACAUCCAUCCUGGACGAACAAAGUGUUAUUCUAAAUGUAAGAUCCUACAUCUGUAGGCCAAUCUACAUUCUACAGUACGUAUCUAACCAAAACAUCUGUAGGCCAAUCUACAUUCUACAGUACGUAUCUAACCAAAACAUCUGUAGGCCAAUCUACAUUCUACAGUACGUAUCUAACCAAAACAUCUGUAGGCCAAUCUACAUUCUACAGUACGUAUCUAACCAAAACAUCUGUAGGCCAAUUUACAUUCUACAGUGCGUAUCUAGACAAAACAUCUGUAGGCCAAUCUACAUUCUACAGUGCGUAUCUAACCAAAACAUCUGUAGGCCAAUCUACAUUCUACAGUGCGUAUCUAACCAAAACAUCUGUAGGCCAAUCUACAUUCUACAGUGCGUAUCUAACCAAAACAUCUGUAGGCCAAUCUACAUUCUACAGUGCGUAUCUAGACAAAACAUCUGUAGGCCAAUCUACAUUCUACAGUGCGUAUCUAGACAAAACGUAGCAUUGAGUUGAGCUGGAUACACAUCAUAUGACCAUUGAAUGAUUGCUGUGAAUCACUUCAACCCUCCGAACAUACACACACAAGCUAAUGUGUCUGGGUUGUCACACACUGGUCUGAACAUGCAGUAGAAUAGAUAGCUAGUGUAGUACCUCUGAGAAUAGGAUCUGUAAUGUGUCCCCUGUCAGUUGCGCAUGUGGAGCUGCCAGCAUUGUUCGCUGGACGCUGACAGCUGUGUGUACUUAUUGAGAAUAAACACAGCUCACAGAUCUUGGACACAUUCGCAUGGGAAGAAGAGGAGAGGGGAAGGCAGACGGGAGUGACUCAAGCCUGUUGUCCACCUACAACACUCUGCUCCAUUGACAUUAACAUGUAUCUCAAGGGGGGGGGGUUUAGAAUACAUGUUGGUUUUAGCCUCCCGAUUAUCUGCUUUAUCUUUCAGCUCUCUGGGGGCUGGCUUGUUCUGUGUCUGGCAGUAGUGCUUGGGGAAGUACAGAUGAGGAGUGUCUGCAUAGUUGACAAUCCUGGGCUGGUCCCACUGGCCUGUAUGAGUGAGUGGGCCUUCUGAUGCAGCUCCAGGGUGGGGCUCGUGGACUGUCUGAAUGGUCCUCCAGGGUGGGGCUCGAGGUCUGUCUGAAUGGUCCUCCAGGAUGGGGCUCGAGGACUGUCUGAAUGGUCCUCCAGGGUGGGCUCGUGGA
Molecule: long non-coding RNA, 2366 nt
Organism: Oncorhynchus keta (chum salmon)
Lineage: Eukaryota; Metazoa; Chordata; Actinopteri; Salmoniformes; Salmonidae
Exons: 4
Source: RefSeq, a predicted model, not a curated record